CUACCUCGCUCGGCGGCCGAGCGUUUCUUUUUGACCGACGGCUAAACGUCCUGCGCAGAAAGCCCAUCAUCUUCCCCCGCGAGACAGCGCUUUAAUUAAUCAGGGAAAACGGCACCGAUACCGGACCGCUCAAGAAGAAGGCAUCCAGCUGUUUCCCAGGCUUUCCACGACGACGAAAGGCGGCGUCUACCGGACUCAGCCGUGCAAUGCAGAGGGAAGAAGUCGGCGACCUGUCACGAGCUCCGUUUCCUCGUGUCGUACGGGCGACAAAACAAGAGCACACCUGCCAGAAGCCACGGGAAGAUGAGAAGUCCAGGCUCAGCUGACUGAUGUCGCGUUAGUUGCUCUCU
RNAcentral lists this long non-coding RNA (350 nucleotides) under Danio rerio (zebrafish). Its description in RNAcentral is "lncRNA si:dkey-108f8.9 (ENSDARG00000097773.2)". Lineage: Eukaryota; Metazoa; Chordata; Actinopteri; Cypriniformes; Danionidae. The record is from RNAcentral.